Molecule: ribosomal RNA, 431 nt
Filed under: uncultured organism
Description: bacterial SSU rRNA
Rfam family: Bacterial small subunit ribosomal RNA
Source: RNAcentral
AACGAACGCUGGCGGCAGGCUUAACACAUGCAAGUCGAGCGCGUAGCAAUACGAGCGGCAGACGGGUGAGUAACGCGUGGGAAUCUACCCAUCACUACGGAAUAACCCAGGGAAACUUGGACUAAUACCGUAUACGACCGAGAGGUGAAAGAUUUAUCGGUGAUGGAUGAGCCCGCGUUGGAUUAGCUAGUUGGUGGGGUAAAGGCCUACCAAGGCGACGAUCCAUAGCUGGUCUGAGAGGAUGAUCAGCCACACUGGGACUGAGACACGGCCCAGACUCCUACGGGAGGCAGCAGUGGGGAAUAUUGGACAAUGGGCGCAAGCCUGAUCCAGCCAUGCCGCGUGAGUGAUGACGGCCUUAGGGUUGUAAAGCUCUUUCACCGGUGAAGAUAAUGACGGUAACCGGAGAAGAAGCCCCGGCUAACUUCGUG